Molecule: unclassified non-coding RNA, 349 nt
Filed under: soil metagenome
Description: partial contains 5.8S ribosomal RNA, internal transcribed spacer 2, and large subunit ribosomal RNA
Rfam family: 5.8S ribosomal RNA (bases 1-120)
Source: RNAcentral
GAUGAAGAACGCAGUGAAACGCGAUAGUUAAUGUGAAUUGCAGAAUUCCGUGAAUCAUCGAGUCUUUGAACGCACAUUGCGCCCCCUGGUAUUCCGGGGGGCAUGCCUGUCCGAGCGUCAUUGCUGCCCAUCAAGCACGGCUUGUGUGUUGGGUCCUCGUCCCCCCCGGGGGACGUGCCCGAAAGGCAGCGGCGGCACCGCGUCCGGUCCUCGAGCGUAUGGGGCUUUGUCACCCGCUCUGCAGGCCCGGCCGGCGCUGGCCGACGCGAAAGCAACCAUUUUUUCUCCAGGUUGACCUCGGAUCAGGUAGGGAUACCCGCUGAACUUAAGCAUAUCAAUAAGCGGAGGA